UACGGAGGGUGCAAGCGUUGUUCGGAUUUACUGGGCGUAAAGGGCGUGUAGGCGGGGGCGCAAGCCGAAGGUGAAAUCCCCGGGCUUAACCCGGGAAGUGCUUUCGGAACUGCGUUUCUAGAGAAAGCUAGAGGCAGGUGGAAUUCCAGGUGUAGAGGUGAAAUUCGUAGAGAUCUGGAGGAACACCGGCGGCGAAGGCGACCUGCUGGGGCUUUUCUGACGCUGAGGCGCGAAAGCGUGGGUAGCAAACAGG
RNAcentral lists this ribosomal RNA (253 nucleotides) under uncultured bacterium. Its description in RNAcentral is "partial 16S ribosomal RNA". It matches the Rfam family "Bacterial small subunit ribosomal RNA", at positions 524 to 776 of the family's 1533-position model. The record is from RNAcentral.